AGCGAACGCUGGCGGCAGGCCUAACACAUGCAAGUCGAACGAACCUUUCGGGGUUAGUGGCGGAAGGGUGAGUAACACGUGGGAACGUGCCUUUAGGUUCGGAAUAACUCAGGGAAACUUGUGCUAAUACCGAAUGUGCCCUUCGGGGGAAAGAUUAAUCGCCUUUAGAGCGGCCCGCGUCUGGCUAGCUAGUUGGUUGAGGUAAUGGCUCACCAAGGCGACGAUCAGUAGCUGGUCUGAGAGGAUGAUCAGCCACAUUGGGACUGAGACACGGCCCAAACUCCUACGGGAGGCAGCAGUGGGGAAUCUUGCGCAAUGGGCGAAAGCCUGACGCAGCCAUGCCGCGUGAAUGAUGAAGGUCUUAGGAUUGUAAAAUUCUUUCACCGGGGACGAUAAUGACGGUACCCGGAGAAGAAGCCCCGGCUAACUUCGUG
RNAcentral lists this ribosomal RNA (434 nucleotides) under uncultured bacterium. RNAcentral's name for it is "partial 16S ribosomal RNA". It matches the Rfam family "Bacterial small subunit ribosomal RNA", at positions 29 to 507 of the family's 1533-position model. The record is from RNAcentral.